CCCUGCCCUGUCCUGUCCUGUCCUGCCCUGCCCUGCCCUGUCCUGCCCAAACCAACAUGCUCUCCUGUGUUAGGUGGGUGAGACUGGAGAGGGACCCUCAGCAACUAGGAUGACAUGAUACUAAUUAUACAGUAUAUUGUAAAUCAAAAGACACAGUUAACUUUAGCUCAAUAGGACAGUGCUAUCAUAAUAUGUAUUUAUGUGGACUGCUUUGUUUUUGUUGGCCAGAUUCUGCGUGGCUGCAGUGUACUAUGGGCUCUGCAGGAUUGAUUCACAGUUUGAACCGCAGCAGUAGUAUAAUCCCUGCAUCCACAAUAAAAAGGUACCGGUAUGCACAUCAUUUUCCCAGUGUCACUGAAAUGAUUGUUAUCACCCAGCCACACUCUGAGAUGCCCGUUAUGCAAGCAGCAGGGGGCUGCUGUUUUAGCAGAAUGUCACAUACGCCUACAGUUGUACCUCUCUGCUUGACUGCACAGAGACAUGUCCUGCCUAGCCCUGAAUUGGUGUGUGUGCAUGUGCGCGUGUGUAUUUGCAGAUGCUGUACCUAAUUUCCAGACUAAUGCCAGAUGCGAGGAGGUUGCCGAUUUGAAGCGAGUGGGGAAUCUGAGCAUGUGGAGGCAGACAGACAGGGUGAGCAGGAGAAUCAUGGGUUGUGGAAGAGUGUUUCUGACACAAAUACGACUAGGAGGAAAUCUGACUUGGCGCUAUGGAAACACGCCCCCCUUCCGUCUCCUAGUAAAACUCCCAGAAUACCAGUUGUCAUUUUCAGAGUGGCUUGCAGCUGAACUCAGAGUGCAAAGGAGUGAGGAUGCCCUGUCUGACCCAGAUAAGUGAAGCACAUGCCUUAAUAAGCAACACACAGAUUCAUUUUGGUAUAUAUUGAUGUGUUGAAUAUGUAACAGAGCCUGUGUGCAGACGGGGUCAGUAUUGGACUGAUCUGUAAUCCAGAUCAUUCUAAUUAUCCAAUAGACAUUGUUGAAGUCAGUUCAGUAUCAGUAUUGUUUGAAAUCAGAGUGAAGAGGACUCUGGACUGUGAGACCAUCAUGGAAUAUAUCAACUAGUAUCAGGUGUGUCCAUAUGGGGGUUAAGAGAGGGAGGGACUAUAACAGAGCAGGAUGAUUCAGUUAGCUACAGUCUGAAUACAUGUGUGAAUCCAUAGUUCAAUUCUCAUCAUGACCAAACCUGUCGAAAUCAAGACCCUUAUUUAUUUUUACAGAAAUACUAUGAUGUUUCCCAGAUUUGAUUAUUAUUGUUAUUCUGCGUUUCUUUGUGUAUCAGAAGAAGGGCAGCUUCCAAGCUGGCCUGCUGCACUACCAUCUCACAGCACACUUCUUAACAGUAAAUUGGUUCCAUUCUUAGAUUAUUAACUGUACUGCUAUAGACAUGGGUAGGCCGUCUUAACAACAUAUUGUGAUCUUUAUCAUAAGAAAUUGGAAUAUCUUCCCUCUUUUUAUUUUUCAUAGGCUGUGCUCGUGGCAGGGGCUGUCCCCUGAGCUGUAACUGUCCAUCAGGAGAAGUGAACAAAACCAAAUCCCUGAUCAGUCUUCACUGUCCACUGCUCCUCGUCUCUGCUAGUGUACAGUACAUUAUACUACCAGGAACACAUCUGAUUGUUAGUCUGAGUUCAAAGAAGGGGUGUCAUGCCCUGUUCCCUCUGCCCCGCCCCUCCUCCUGGCAGCCUGUCUGCACUGUGUAUGGGAGGGCCAGGGGAGUGGCCAGGGGAUUGGCCAGGGCAUCAGGACAAGCCUGGAGAUGUUGGGACAGCUGGCAGAGCAGCACAGACAGGUACACUUAACACAUUUUUGGCAUAUAGCAGAUGCUCUUAUCCAGAGCAUUUGUCAGUGCAUUCAUCUUAAGAUGGGACAACCACAUAUCACAGUUAUACCUGGUCCCCCAUCUUAACUCUGAGAUGUUGGAGAGGACAUUGAAGGCCCCAGGGUUCCUGUGCUCUGCUACUCAUCCCUUAUCAAGCUCUUUAUGGAUGGCCAGACUUCUUUCCCUGCGACCGAGCACCCAACUGAUGAGAUGGACCCCUCCCAGAUUCUGACCCGGGCCCAGUAGGUGCUUCUGAAGACUCUCUGACAUCCCCAACAUCAGCUGAACCAGCUGGAGGUCUUAUGUGUUGACCUGGACCUGGCAGCAGCUCUGGUCUUUCAACUCAGCCCUUCCAGCCUCAGCCAAGAGUUGGACUUCUUCUGCGUUAGGAAAGUAUUCAGACCCCUUGACUUUUUUCAUAUUUUGUUACAUUACAGCCUUAUUCUAAAAUGGAUUCGUUUUUCCCCUUCAAUCUACACACAAUAGCCCAUAAUGACAAAGCAAAAAAUAUAUAUCACAUUUACAUAAGUAUUCAGACCCUUUACUCAGUACUUUGUUGAAGCACCUUUGGCAGCGAUUACAGCCUUGAGUCUUCUUGGGUAUGACGUUACAAGCUUGGCACACCUGUAUUUGGGGAGUUUCUCCCAUUC
This is a non-coding RNA of Salmo salar (Atlantic salmon), 2465 nucleotides long. NCBI's taxonomy places the organism in Eukaryota, Metazoa, Chordata, Actinopteri, Salmoniformes, Salmonidae. The record is from RefSeq and is a predicted model, not a curated record.